Drosophila yakuba is the source of this 549-nucleotide long non-coding RNA. RefSeq lists it as uncharacterized. NCBI's taxonomy places the organism in Eukaryota, Metazoa, Arthropoda, Insecta, Diptera, Drosophilidae. The transcript has 2 exons. The record is from RefSeq and is a predicted model, not a curated record.
AAGAACAAACAAACAAAUAAAGCUUUUAAAACAGCGUGUAUGCGGCAUACAAUUGAGGAAUGUCAGAUCAAAAUUUAAAAAAAAACAUUUCGCAGAAAUUGAAUUACAAUUUUCGACACUUUUUGCACUGCAAUUUAUACAGGUAUUUUCCAGCGGAACUGAACUCUUCGAAUAUGGGAAAAAUGUGCAGCCGCCCAAAACCAACCAGAACAGGUCUGUUUGGAGGAAAGGUGAAAAACAAAUGCAAUGCAUUCUGAUAUGCGUGUGUAAAAAGGAUUUAUGAGCUUAGUCGGUUGCAGCUACUUUCACGGAACAGCAAAAGUGUCAGGAUGAGACAGCCGCAGUACAAUCAACAUUUUUAUGCAAUUUUAAUCAAGGCCGGAGCGUAAACAUUGUCAAAAUGUUUGCUUAGAUGUCAGGUUUACCUGUUGUUUAUGUAGACAACAUUCAAAACGCCACUUCGUCUUGGAGUCACUAUGGUACAUUGAACCUAUGCAAGUUGGAAUAUCCAAGACCUUGAGAAGAAUUAAAAUAGCUCGUUCUCAUAGA